GAGACCGAAUAUCUUAGAAACAACAUCCUAAAAAUUUGGCGCCCAUGUCGUACCAACAACCGGUAGAAGCUUGCCCUGGCAGGGCCUGUACGUAGCUGAGACCCUGUGUGCUUUACUCAGGUUACCCCAAGUUGUGAACCAAAGGAAGAUAUAGGGUUAUUUCUUGGUCCAUUGUGGGCAUGAUUUAGUUUAGUUUUUGUGGUACGUGCUUGGGACUUGGACAACAAAUCUGGAGCUAAUAGUUUACCCAAGCUACUUCAUUAACCCCUUUUCUUUUGUUAGAUUCAGAUUUACUAUAUGAUUUAUGUAAGUGUGCUGUCAUCUUGCAGGUUUGCAAAGAGGAAUUUAGAUGAGUAUGUAUUUCUUGGCAAUCGGCUGCAGGUGUAUAUGCACCUUAGUUUGAGAGAUUUUUGGAUACCAAGAAGAAACUGAAGGUCGGGAGAAAUGAAGUCCUCAACCAAAUAAGAUGUAUGGUUUCACCAUUUUCUAAAAAAAUCUGCAUCUUAUAAUUUAGUGUUGUGAUGAUAAAAAUAAUAAGAAUUUGCGGUUAGGGAAGGAGGUCCAGGUUGAAGGACAAUAAAAAAUAAUGUAGUGUAGCAUGUCUAAUUUUUCAAUUCGAACCAUUUAAAUGUAGAUUCAUGUGUAUUGUUUCCUUAUCAUUGUUAUAAAGAAAUUCCAACGGUACUUGAGCACUCCUUGCAUAUUUUUUACCAUACACCCUCAUAUGUCUAUAUCUUUUUUGUAUCCUUAUGUGACGGUGGAUGUUGAUACAAAACAUGGAUAAAUUGGCGGCAGCCUUAUAUCGUACUGCACAUGAUUAGCUCCAAAGUUGAGUUACUCAACUAUAUUUACCUAUAUGGAAAACAAUAUCGAGCAAAAAAAUUUAAAAAAUAUUUUCCUGUGUUAUGUUAUUUGUCAACAUAACCCCUGAUAUUGCGUCGUCGUCCUCACCGGAAGCAGCACCGCCUCUGCCCCGUGCGGCGUUGUCGUCCCCAUCAAGCCGCACCAGAGGGAGAUGCUUAGCUGUGGCCACACAAACGGAUGGGGACGUCAAGCCAAGCUGGUGGCUGGCGGCCUACCAUCGCGUCAACUUACACAGGAUAGGAGAGCCCUCGAAAAAAAAACACAGGAUAGGACCAGAGGAAUCUUGAUCGCGGCAUCCAGACCUGGAGUGGAGGACAUGGGUCGCCAUGAAGCAAUUGCCCCUUCGUUGUGAAGUUGCAGCUGUGUACAGAAGCUUUUUGUGUAAAUGCCUACGACCACAGACCGCUCCUGGAAGAAUGCUCACAACUCAGCUUGAAUUUGUAAGUUAAUUGUCCUCUCAGAUGCACCCCUCUUGAUGUUUUAUAUGUUUCAACAUGGAUUCUUGGUUCCUAUAAAUUUACAGGUUAUGAUGUUGUGAUGAACUUGCAGCAAUGAAGUGAUUUGGGUAACAUCUUGCUUUUUAAAAUGACUUUCAUUUACUUCUGUGGCAUUGAAGGAGCGACACAAUUCCUCCCAACUACAGAAUUUGCAGCGGCUGAAGAUUCUAGAAGUACAGAGAUAAAAUGCUUCAUGUGAUGAGUGGUGUAAUUAAAUUGGAGAGAAACAUGAAGAAGUUUGAUGGCACCCAUUCUUAGGUUGAAAAUUGAAUGUCCGAUCCAUUACUUGCUCUUUUUUGCUUUAUCACUUUAUUAUGUAGUUCCUGAUUUUGGAAGAUGUAUUAUCUGGUCAUCGCUUGCAUUUGACUACAUUUGUGCGAUUUGUAAUGUAAUUCAUCCAGUAUACGGGUUAUACAUUUGGUAGCAAAUUUGAAUUUUCUUGGAUAUACAUAUAUCUGAUUUAUUCAUUUGGUUUAGAGUCCAA
Long non-coding RNA from Lolium rigidum, 1845 nucleotides. RefSeq lists it as uncharacterized. The transcript is spliced from 3 exons. Lineage: Eukaryota; Viridiplantae; Streptophyta; Magnoliopsida; Poales; Poaceae. The record is from RefSeq and is a predicted model, not a curated record.